AGCACAGUUCAUAAAUUACGCAAUCUCGACGAAGCGAGUGUCGAAGAAAACUACCGAUGAGCAACGGCGAGAUUGGCAUGGCAUGAUUUUUAAAAAUACGAGAACGUGAACAUCAACGAAUCGUGAACGAAUUGUGAUCGCUUGUGAGGAGUGUGCGAGCUCGUCGUUCUCGAGUUUUCCUCAGCUGUUCGAAUCUCCUUGAAAGCACUGUCGAUCGUUUCAUGAAUGAGUGUCGACCGAGGACUGAACAUGCUGCACAAGCAUGCAAGCAAGUCGCAGCAUAACACCAUGUAUAGACACAGAGGCGCCUUCCUCAAGUCUAUGUCGGAGUUCCCAGUGGAGGGAGGUGAGAACGGAGACAUGCAGACCGUCAUGGAAAACUUUCAGAAGAAGAACAACCUGGUGACCGGUAGGACACAUCAUGUCUCUCAUCAUCCGCAGGUCACCACGUCGUCGCAGAUGCUGACGACGAACCAGAGCCAGCACCAGAGUAGCAGCAGCACUAGCACCAGCACCAGCAGCACGAGCAGCAGGGUGGCCAAGUCCUCGCAGAGGAUCCUCACCUCGUCCUCAUCGAGUGAGAUGAAGGCGAGCUCCAUGAAGAGUGACCUGACAGAACUCAAACGCGGUAUCUCGGAGAUGAAGAACAUCUCGACAAACUUCUCGCAACGGCUGCGGAGUAGCAUGGAGAACCUUGUCGACAGAGACGGCAAUGGACCGGAAGAAGCAGACCUUACGGAGCCACUGGUGACCUUUCCAGAUCCGGAUACGCCGCCACCUGUCAGUGACGCUGUCACGCUGGCAGGUUCUCCGUCCCAAUUGAGUUCUUUGAACUCGUUGAAUAAUCUUCAUCAUGGCAUGAGCCCGCCGAUAAACAUACCGAACAUACCGAAUUUACCUGCCGGUCAAGAAACCAUGAAGUUCGAGCAAAAGAAGAUGACUAGCGCUUCCAAGACGAAGGUCGUCACGGAUGGAUUUAGUGCUGAGAAGGCGACGGCGAACAGCGCCGAGAUGAGGGCCCUGCAAGCUGGCGACGUGUCGUACAAAGAGCAGAGCGCCGCGACGGCGGCGAGGGCGCGUGUCGAGCUCGACGGCGUCUCGGCAGAAAAGAGCGUCGCUGCAGCGAGGGAGCAGAGAAGUUUAAAAGCUGGCGAUCUCUCGCAUCAGGAAAGUAAUAAUAUGGCAGCGUCUACCAUGAAACUUCAGAGCGACUCAUUCACCUCCGAAAAGAAAGCGAUGGCGGCGCAGCAGCAACGGCAGACAGUCACGUCAACCGGCAUUUUCAACCACGAGAAGCACAUGGCAUCAAGUUCGCAGUCGAGCAUUACGAUCGCCUCGAAAUCGGGUGUGAGCUCGUCGAAAUCAAUGAUCAGCGCGGCGAGUGCGGUGAACCAGCUGAUGAACGGCAUGCGACCGCCAACUGCUGAGGACGAGCUUCUGUCAUUGCCGUUGGACGACCUGGAUUUACUCUGCUCCAAGUCGAAUCCGCAGGAUGUGGACUGUGCGAUCAACAAGUAUUGCGGUCUCCUGGACAGCUUUGUGGAGCGACUGAAGGCAAGCGCCGAACAGAGCGGCAGCAAGAGCAAUUGCAAAGCACCUCAGCUACUCAACCGGGUGAACGAAAUCAUCCGGAAAGCGUGGGCCGUGCCGACACACGGCCACGAGCUUGGCUACACCCUGUGCAACACCCUGAGGAACCGCGGCGGCCUCGACCUUCUCAUGUUAAACUGCGUGGCGAACGACGACGAGCUGCAAUUCUCGUCGGCGCGGCUGCUCGAGCAAUGCCUGACGACGGAGAACCGCGCUCACGUCGUGGAGAACGGCCUCGAGAAGGUGGUGAACGUGGCGUGCGUGUGCACGAAGAACGCCAACUCGGUGGACCACGCGCGCGUCGGCACCGGCAUCCUCGAGCACCUGUUCAAGCACAGCGAGGGCACAUGUAGCGACGUGAUUCGGCUAGGUGGUCUAGACGCGGUGCUGUUCGAGUGCCGAAAGAACGACGUGGAGACGCUACGCCACUGUGCUGGCGCGCUCGCCAACCUGUCACUAUAUGGUGGCGCCGAGAAUCAAGAAGCGAUGAUCAAGCGCAAGGUGCCGAUGUGGCUGUUCCCGCUCGCCUUCCACAAUGACGACAACAUCAAGUACUACGCCUGUCUAGCGAUCGCCGUGCUGGUCGCCAACAAGGAGAUUGAAGCAGCGGUCCUCAAGUCUGGCACCCUUGACCUCGUGGAGCCAUUCAUCACGUCGCAUAAUCCGUACGAGUUCGCCAAGUCGAAUCUCGCGCACGCUCACGGUCAGAGCAAGAACUGGCUGGAGCGGCUGGUGCCGGUGUUGAGCUCAAAGCGCGAGGAGGCCCGCAACCUCGCGGCUUUCCACUUCUGCAUGGAAGCAGGCAUCAAGAAGCAGCAGGGCAACACCGAGAUCUUCCGCACGAUCGGCGCGAUCGAGCCAUUGAAGAAAGUCGCCAGCUGUCCGAACGCGAUCGCGUCCAAGUACGCGGCGCAGGCACUCAGGCUGAUCGGCGAAGAGAUCCCGCACAAGCUCAGCCAGCAGGUGCCCCUGUGGUCCACGGAGGACGUACGCGAGUGGGUGAAGCAGAUCGGCUUCGCCGAGGUAGCGUCGAACUUUGUCGAGAGCCGAGUGGACGGCGACCUGUUGCUGCAGCUGACCGAAGAGAACUUGCGCGAAGACAUUGGCUUGACGAACGGCAUCAUGCGACGGCGAUUCUCCCGCGAGCUGCAGAACCUGAAGAAGAUGGCUGACUAUAGCAGCCGCGAUACUGGCAAUCUCAAUAGUUUCCUGCAGUCGAUCGGCCAAGAAUUCUCCAUCUACACGUACAGCAUGCUGAAUGCCGGCGUGGACAAGGACUCGAUACGCAAUCUCUCAGAGGACCAGCUGCUGACCGAGUGCGGCAUCGCCAACAGCAUCCACCGGCUCAGGAUACUGGACGCCAUCAAGAAUAUGCAACACAACCAGUUCAGUUCGUGCGAGUACGAGUCGCCCGACAAGUCGCUCGACGUGUUCGUCAGCUACCGCAGAUCCAACGGCUCGCAGUUGGCGAGUCUGCUUAAGGUACACCUACAGCUGCGCGGUUUCUCGGUAUUCAUUGACGUCGAGCGACUCGAGGCCGGCAAAUUCGACAACAAUCUGCUGCAGAGUAUCAGACAGGCGAAACAUUUCCUCCUUGUGCUGACGCCCCAGGCUCUCGAGAGAUGCAUACAGGACGUCGAGUGCAAGGACUGGGUUCACAGGGAAAUCGUUGCUGCCUUACAAUCGCAAUGCAACAUAAUCCCGAUCAUCGACAAUUUCAUGUGGCCGGAGCCUGAGGAACUUCCCGAGGACAUGCGAACAGUCUGUCAUUUCAACGGUGUCCGCUGGAUUCACGACUAUCAAGACGCCUGCGUAGACAAAUUAGAAAGGUUUAUGCGAGGCGAGUUACCCAUGAGAUCUGAACUGUCUGGCGGAAUUCCGCGCAGCAUGGCGCCCAAGGACGUGGUCCAGCCUAACACACCGAGUAACACGAAUAUACGACAACAGCCCAGCUAUCAGCGGAUGCAUAGCAACGAAAGCAGGGGUAGCGACAAGGAUUCCACGGGCGGGCGAGACUGACUAGACGGCCCGCCCACAGCCAUACCGAGCAGCCAAGAUUGCGAAUCGCGCUAUGACAAUCACGACUAGGCUUAGAAAGUCGUCAAGUCCGUCCCGUUGGUUGAUGGGCCUACCGCCCACGUCGCCGCGCUUUAAGUUCGUGCAUACACAUCCGGUGAAUGCCGGCAACAGC
Molecule: unclassified non-coding RNA, 3781 nt
Filed under: Ooceraea biroi (clonal raider ant)
Lineage: Eukaryota; Metazoa; Arthropoda; Insecta; Hymenoptera; Formicidae
Description: sterile alpha and TIR motif-containing protein 1, transcript variant X5
Source: RNAcentral